RNAcentral lists this ribosomal RNA (754 nucleotides) under uncultured eukaryote. RNAcentral's name for it is "bacterial SSU rRNA". It matches the Rfam family "Bacterial small subunit ribosomal RNA", at positions 687 to 1459 of the family's 1533-position model. The record is from RNAcentral.
UGCGUAGAUAUUGGGAAGAACACUAAACAGCGAAGGCACUUUACUAGGCUAAUACUGACGCUGAGAAACGAAAGGUAAGGUAGCGAAACGGAUUAGAUACCCGUGUAGUCUUACCCGUAAACUAUGGACACUAAACGGUAAAUUUUUAAUCUACUGUUAAAGCUAACGCGUUAAGUGUCCCGCCUGGGGAGUAUGCUUGCAAAAGUGAAACUCAAAGGAAUUGACGGGGGCCCGCACAAGCGGUGGAGCAUGUGGUUUAAUUCGACGGUACACGAAGAACCUUACCAGGAUUUGACAUGCUAGAUAGUUGCUUGAAAGAGUAACGUGCCGUAAGGAAUCUAGACACAGGUGGUGCAUGGCUGUCGUCAGUUCGUGUUGUGAAAUGUUGGGUUAAGUCCCGCAACGAACGCAACCCUUGUCUUUAGUUAUUUUCUAAAGAGACUGCCUGUAAUAAACAGGAGGAAGGUAAGGAUGAGGUCAAGUCAUCAUGCCCCUUAUGUCCUGGGCUACACACGUGCUACAAUGGGAAAGACAAUGAGCUGCAAAUCUGUAAAUUUAAGCAAAUCUCUUAAACUUUCUCGUAGCUCGGAUUGUGGGCUGCAACUCGCCCACAUGAAGUUGGAAUCGCUAGUAAUCGCCAGUCAGCUAUAUGGCGGUGAGUCCGUUCCCGGGCCUUGCACACACCGCCCGUCACACCAUGGGAGCUGUUCACUCCUAAAGUCGUAUUUUCAACUUACAAAGAGAAAAAUGCCUA